RNAcentral lists this long non-coding RNA (830 nucleotides) under Rattus norvegicus (Norway rat). RNAcentral describes it as "long non-coding RNA NONRATT011500". Lineage: Eukaryota; Metazoa; Chordata; Mammalia; Rodentia; Muridae. The record is from RNAcentral.
GAUGACAAAAGGUAAGAGGCUAAAUAUAUAUAUACAGACAGCCGUUAUGCCUUUGCCACGGCACACAUCCACGGGGAGAUCUACCGGAGGCGGGGACUGCUCACAUCUGAGGGUAAAGAUAUGGCUAAAAUUCUGGCCCUCUUAGAAGCCCUAUUCUUGCCCAAAAGACUGAGUACAUUGUCCAGGACACCAGAAAGGGCACAACCCUGAGACACGAGGAAACCGGCUGGCCGAUGCCACGGCGCGAGAAGCGGCCAUGAACAAACAAAUCUUGCCCUUAAAUAGCCCAGACCAACCCACGCCCCCACCAGUGGGACAAACCAGUUGGGUUUAUGCCCAUGAGGACAUAGAGCUCCUAAAAAAUGGGGGCCAUCUACCACCCUCAACUAAAACAGUGGGUCUACAAAGGACUUUUGAAUUGAUCUCCUUUUUACAUAAAUUAACCCAUUUGGGGUUUAAGAAGAUGACUAGAUCGGGAAGAGAUAAAUCUGUGUUUUUUUAAAUCGGGACAAAGCGAUACAAAAGGUGACUGAGAGUUACAAAGCGUGCGCUCAGGUUAACCCGGAAAGGACCAUGAUUGGACAAGGAGUUCGUCCUAGGGGACACCGUCCCGACAUCCAUUGGGAAAUUGAUUUUACUGAAAUUAAACCAGGUAUAUAUGGAUACAAGUAUCUCCUAGUGUUUGUAGACACCUUCUCAGGAUGGGUCGAAGCCUUCCCCACAAAGCACGAGACUACAAAAAUGGUCACUAAGAAGCUCCUCGAGGAAAUCUUUCCCAGGUAUGGCAUGCCUCAAGCGUUGGGGUCGGACAACGGGCCCGCUUUCGUCUC